Molecule: long non-coding RNA, 201 nt
Organism: Bufo bufo (common toad)
Lineage: Eukaryota; Metazoa; Chordata; Amphibia; Anura; Bufonidae
Exons: 3
Source: RefSeq, a predicted model, not a curated record
ACAAUGUAAGUCAAUGGGGAUGGAUACGUUUUCUCUGACACAAUCUGACACAAUAGAAAACGUAUCGGUCCCCCAUUGACUUUCAAUGGUGUUCAUGACGGAUCCGUCAUGGCUAGAUAAGACAUAAUGCAACCAGAUCAGUUCAUGACGGAUGUAUGCGGUUGUAUUAUUGUAACGGAAGCUAAUGUGAAAGUAGCCUUA